UUCAGAUUGACGGUGUCGUGCUGAAUGAUUACACGGGCAAUAAAAUACCGCGAAAAUAAUUUUGAAGCGGGAAACCUAAACGCCCCCUAUGUUACAUUGAUGAAAACACCCAGGAGAAAUUAAUUUCACUCUAAUGCACUGCCCGUUUAAACGAAUGAAAUUACAAUUCUCCUGGUAUAAACAACCCAUCAAUGUAGACAUAACACCAAUACUGUACCAAAUAUCCAAGUAUUAUAAUUAAUACUUGUACCAAAUAUCCA
RNAcentral lists this long non-coding RNA (260 nucleotides) under Mytilus galloprovincialis (Mediterranean mussel). The record is from RNAcentral. Lineage: Eukaryota; Metazoa; Mollusca; Bivalvia; Mytilida; Mytilidae.